RNAcentral lists this ribosomal RNA (1365 nucleotides) under marine metagenome. RNAcentral's name for it is "bacterial LSU rRNA". It matches the Rfam family "Bacterial large subunit ribosomal RNA", at positions 1580 to 2925 of the family's 2925-position model. The record is from RNAcentral.
CGGUGGUGAAGCUGUUGACGCUACGCUUCCAGGAAAAGCCUCUAAGCUUCAGGUAUUGUCGACCGUACUCGAAACCGACACAGGUGGUCAGGUAGAGCAUACCAAGGCGCUUGAGAGAACUCUGGUGAAGGAACUAGGCAAAAUAGUACCGUAACUUCGGGAGAAGGUACGCUCUUGUGGGUGAAGGACUUGCUCCGUAAGCCUAUGAGAGUCGCAGUGACCAGCUGGCUGCAACUGUUUAUUAAAAACACAGCACUCUGCAAACUCGUAAGAGGACGUAUAGGGUGUGACACCUGCCCGGUGCCGGAAGGUUAAUUGAUGGGGUUAGCGCAAGCGAAGCUCUUGAUCGAAGCCCCGGUAAACGGCGGCCGUAACUAUAACGGUCCUAAGGUAGCGAAAUUCCUUGUCGGGUAAGUUCCGACCUGCACGAAUGGUGUAAUGAUGGCCAGGCUGUCUCCACCAGAGACUCAGUGAAAUUGAAAUUGCGGUGAAGAUGCCGUAUACCCGCGGCUAGACGGAAAGACCCCGUGAACCUUUACUAUAGCUUGGCACUGAACAUUGACCCUACAUGUGUAGGAUAGGUGGGAGACUUUGAAGUUGGAACGCCAGUUCUGAUGGAGUCGUCCUUGAAAUACCACCCUUGUAUGUUUGAUGUUCUAACGUGGGCCCCUAAUCGGGGUUGCGGACAGUGUCUGGUGGGUAGUUUGACUGGGGCGGUCUCCUCCUAAAGAGUAACGGAGGAGCACGAAGGUUGGCUAAGUACGGUCGGACAUCGUACGGUUAGUGCAAAGGCAGAAGCCAGCUUAACUGCGAGACAGACACGUCGAGCAGGUACGAAAGUAGGUCUUAGUGAUCCGGUGGUUCUGUAUGGAAGGGGCAUCGCUCAACGGAUAAAAGGUACUCCGGGGAUAACAGGCUGAUACCGCCCAAGAGUUCAUAUCGACGGCGGUGUUUGGCACCUCGAUGUCGGCUCAUCACAUCCUGGGGCUGAAGUCGGUCCCAAGGGUAUGGCUGUUCGCCAUUUAAAGUGGUACGCGAGCUGGGUUUAGAACGUCGUGAGACAGUUCGGUCCCUAUCUGCCGUGGGCGUUGGAUGAUUGAUUGGAGUUGCUCCUAGUACGAGAGGACCGGAGUGAACGAACCGCUGGUGUUCGGGUUGUCAUGCCAAUGGCACUGCCCGGUAGCUAUGUUCGGAACGGAUAACCGCUGAAAGCAUCUAAGCGGGAAGCCGGCCAAAAGAUGAGUCAUCCCUUGUACCUUGAGUACACAUAAGGGUCGUUGGAGACCACAACGUUGAUAGGUGAGGUGUGGAAGCGUGGUGACACGUUAAGCUAACUCAUACUAAUUGCCCGAGAGGCUUAACCAU